AGCGAACGCUGGCGGCAGGCCUAACACAUGCAAGUCGAACGAACUCUUCGGAGUUAGUGGCGGACGGGUGAGUAACACGUGGGAACGUGCCUUUAGGUUCGGAAUAACUCAGGGAAACUUGUGCUAAUACCGAAUGUGCCCUUCGGGGGAAAGAUUUAUCGCCUUUAGAGCGGCCCGCGUCCGAUUAGCUAGUUGGUGAGGUAAAGGCUCACCAAGGCGACGAUCAGUAGCUGGUCUGAGAGGAUGAUCAGCCACAUUGGGACUGAGACACGGCCCAAACUCCUACGGGAGGCAGCAGUGGGGAAUCCUGCGCAAUGGGCGAAGGCCUGAAGCUGCCAUGCCGCGUGAAUGAUGAAGGUCUUAGGAUUGUAAAAUUCUUUAACCGGGGACGAUAAUGACGGUACCCGGAGAAGAAGCCCCGGCUAACUUCGUG
RNAcentral lists this ribosomal RNA (433 nucleotides) under uncultured bacterium. RNAcentral describes it as "partial 16S ribosomal RNA". It matches the Rfam family "Bacterial small subunit ribosomal RNA", at positions 29 to 507 of the family's 1533-position model. The record is from RNAcentral.